CCAGUUCUUAGGCAGCCAGCCAUCUUUUCUGAAUGCCUGAAUCUCCAGCCCCUUACCUGGGAGUGGCCCCCAGGGACCUGUCUACUUGGGUGCUGGAGUACCACCCUGAAGUCCUGGCCUGGGAGAACUCGAGCACAAAGAAGCCAUCGCCUGACCAGAGCUGUAUAGAAACACCCUCAGGUCAGAUAUCAACCCUCUCUGCUGCAGCCUGCUGCCCUGUUGCUGGUCCUUUCCCAGACAGAAAGGGGGAGUGCAUGUGUGUCCCCACCAGCGGGGACCCAGUUAUUCAGGGUCCCGAAGAGGCUUUCUACCUGUGGGCCAAAAUGGGGGUGAAGAGAAGAAGGAGACCAAGCAAAAGUUCUGUUGUCAAGGUCUCGUUAAUUGGGAUGAACGUUACAGCUUUUAAGGCUUUCAGGUAGGGGGAGUGACCUUUGUGAAACAUGAAGGAGGGGGAGAGGAGGGUAUAGGCAGUGAUAGCUGGAGGCAAAGAGGUCAGGCGAUGAGGUCAGGUGGUGGAGACACCGGGUGUAGACUGAG
Molecule: long non-coding RNA, 537 nt
Filed under: Rattus norvegicus (Norway rat)
Lineage: Eukaryota; Metazoa; Chordata; Mammalia; Rodentia; Muridae
Description: long non-coding RNA NONRATT032347
Source: RNAcentral